This 468-nucleotide ribosomal RNA is filed under the name uncultured bacterium. RNAcentral's name for it is "partial 16S ribosomal RNA". It matches the Rfam family "Bacterial small subunit ribosomal RNA", at positions 28 to 507 of the family's 1533-position model. The record is from RNAcentral.
GACGAACGCUGGCGGCGUGCUUAACACAUGCAAGUCGAACGGAAAGGCCCUGCUUUUGUGGGGUGCUCGAGUGGCGAACGGGUGAGUAACACGUGAGUAACCUGCCCUUGACUUUGGGAUAACUUCAGGAAACUGGGGCUAAUAUCGGAUAGGAGCUCCUGCUGCAUGGUGGGGGUUGGAAAGUUUCGGCGGUUGGGGAUGGACUCGCGGCUUAUCAGCUUGUUGGUGGGGUAGUGGCUUACCAAGGCUUUGAAGGGUAGCCGGCCUGAGAGGGUGACCGGCCACAUGGGUACUGAGAGACGGCCCAGACGGCUACGGGAGGCAGCAGGGGGGAAUAUUGCACAAUGGGCGGAAGCCUGAUGCAGCGACGCCGCGUGCGGAAUGACGUCCUUCUGGUUGUAAACCGCUUUCGCCUUUGACGAAGCGUGAGUGACGGUAAUUGGUAAAGAAGCACCGGCUAACUACGUG